RNAcentral lists this transfer RNA (72 nucleotides) under Actinomycetota bacterium. RNAcentral describes it as "Actinobacteria bacterium (soil metagenome) tRNA-Ser". Lineage: Bacteria; Bacillati; Actinomycetota. The record is from RNAcentral.
GCGUCGUCUUGCGACCGGAUGACGCGCCUUACAAGCGAGGGGUCACUGGUUCGAUCCCAGUUGCGCGCACCA